CCUACGGGUGGCAGCAGUGGGGAAUAUUGGACAAUGGGCGAAAGCCUGAUCCAGCCAUGCCGCGUGUGUGAAGAAGGCCUUCGGGUUGUAAAGCACUUUCAGUGGGGAAGAAAGCCUUGGGGCUAAUACCCUCGAGGAAGGACAUCACCCACAGAAGAAGCACCGGCUAACUCCGUGCCAGCAGCCGCGGUAAUACGGAGGUUGCGAGCGUUAAUCGGAAUUACUGGGCGUAAAGCGCGCGUAGGCGGUCUGAUAAGCCGGUUGUGAAAGCCCCGGGCUCAACCUGGGAACGGCAUCCGGAACUGUCAGGCUAGAGUGCAGGAGAGGAAGGUAGAAUUCCCGGUGUAGCGGUGAAAUGCGUAGAGAUCGGGAGGAAUACCAGUGGCGAAGGCGGUCUUCUGGACUGACACUGACGCUGAGGUGCGAAAGCGUGGGUAGCAAACAGGAUUAGAUACCCUGGUAGUC
This 465-nucleotide ribosomal RNA is filed under the name Vreelandella stevensii. RNAcentral's name for it is "partial 16S ribosomal RNA". It matches the Rfam family "Bacterial small subunit ribosomal RNA", at positions 338 to 795 of the family's 1533-position model. Lineage: Bacteria; Pseudomonadati; Pseudomonadota; Gammaproteobacteria; Oceanospirillales; Halomonadaceae. The record is from RNAcentral.